UACGGGGGGGGCAAGCGUUGUUCGGAAUUACUGGGCGUAAAGGGCGCGUAGGCGGCUUGACAAGUCCCGGGUGAAAUCCCUCGGCUCAACCGAGGAACUGCCUUGGAAACUGUCUGGCUUGAGGCCGGGAGAGGGUAGUGGAAUUCCCAGUGUAGCGGUGAAAUGCGUAGAUACUGGGAGGAACACCGGUGGCGAAGGCGGCUACCUGGACCGGUUCUGACGCUGAGGCGCGAAAGCGUGGGUAGCAAACAGG
This 253-nucleotide ribosomal RNA is filed under the name uncultured bacterium. Its description in RNAcentral is "partial 16S ribosomal RNA". It matches the Rfam family "Bacterial small subunit ribosomal RNA", at positions 524 to 776 of the family's 1533-position model. The record is from RNAcentral.